GGGUCAGUAGGUUGGUCGUGCCACCGGUACGUACUGGUCUCACUGAUUCCUCCUUCCUGAAGAACCGUAAUGCCGUUAAUUUGGCGUUGCGGGGAAACAGGACUGUUACUUUGAAAAAAUUAGAGUGUUUAAAGCAAGCUAACGCUUGAAUACAUUAGCAUGGAAUAAUGAAAUAGGACGAUCGAUCCUAUUUUGUUGGUUUCUAGGAUUGACGUA
Molecule: ribosomal RNA, 216 nt
Filed under: Glomeromycotina sp.
Lineage: Eukaryota; Fungi; Glomeromycota
Description: partial small subunit ribosomal RNA
Rfam family: Eukaryotic small subunit ribosomal RNA (bases 87-216)
Source: RNAcentral